GAACUAAAAGUAGACCUACCCAGGCCUGUCCCCCUUGGCCUCUCAUAGUGUCCCAUGCCAGAGCAAACUGUGGCCCUGAACCAUUGCCUGGCCUGUGCCCGUAGGCUGCUGGCACUGAAGUGGGUUGCACAGUG
This 134-nucleotide small nucleolar RNA is filed under the name Microcebus murinus (gray mouse lemur). Its description in RNAcentral is "Small nucleolar RNA SNORA42/SNORA80 family (ENSMICG00000031925.2)". It matches the Rfam family "Small nucleolar RNA SNORA42/SNORA80 family". Rfam says of the family: The members of this family belong to the H/ACA class of snoRNAs that guide the sites of modification of uridines to pseudouridines. Human ACA42 (SNORA42) was cloned from HeLa cells by immunoprecipitation with anti-GAR1 antibody. The record is from Rfam by way of RNAcentral. Lineage: Eukaryota; Metazoa; Chordata; Mammalia; Primates; Cheirogaleidae.